This is a non-coding RNA of Vicia faba (fava bean), 270 nucleotides long. The record is from the annotation of a GenBank genome assembly. Lineage: Eukaryota; Viridiplantae; Streptophyta; Magnoliopsida; Fabales; Fabaceae.
AUGGGUAUCGCCAAACUCUUUUUUGGUCGUAGAACAUGUCAAGCUAAUGAGAUGAAGAAAGCAUCUAUUUGGGCCCAGUCUUGGGUGUCACAAGAUCAUAUAUUGAGAGACAGUAGGGUAUAUGAUAUGGAUCUUGAUUUCGAUAGAGCUUUGGAUGGUCUUAGUGUUAUGAUUCUUGAUUUUGACCUUAGUGGUAUUACUAGAAAGGACAUCGCCCCUCCUAAAGCAGAACAUGUUUUGGCGAGUUCCCUUUUUAGUAAAAGUGUUUAG